RNAcentral lists this ribosomal RNA (248 nucleotides) under uncultured bacterium. RNAcentral describes it as "partial 16S ribosomal RNA". It matches the Rfam family "Bacterial small subunit ribosomal RNA", at positions 524 to 771 of the family's 1533-position model. The record is from RNAcentral.
UACGUAGGGUGCAAGCGUUGUCCGGAAUUAUUGGGCGUAAAGAGCUCGUAGGCGGUCUGUCGCGUCGGAUGUGAAAACCCAGGGCUCAACCCUGGGCCUGCAUUCGAUACGGGCAGACUAGAGUUCGGUAGGGGAGACUGGAAUUCCUGGUGUAGCGGUGAAAUGCGCAGAUAUCAGGAGGAACACCGGUGGCGAAGGCGGGUCUCUGGGCCGAAACUGACGCUGAGGAGCGAAAGCGUGGGGAGCAA